RNAcentral lists this RNase P RNA (361 nucleotides) under Paludibacteraceae bacterium. RNAcentral's name for it is "RNase P RNA component class A". It matches the Rfam family "Bacterial RNase P class A". Rfam says of the family: Ribonuclease P (RNase P) is a ubiquitous endoribonuclease, found in archaea, bacteria and eukarya as well as chloroplasts and mitochondria. Its best characterised activity is the generation of mature 5'-ends of tRNAs by cleaving the 5'-leader elements of precursor-tRNAs. Lineage: Bacteria; Pseudomonadati; Bacteroidota; Bacteroidia; Bacteroidales; Paludibacteraceae. The record is from RNAcentral.
ACAGUAGGCCGGUCUGUCGCUGCCACUUGUUGGGAGAGGAAAGUCCGGGCAACACAGAGCGCCAUACUUCCUAACGGGAAGCCAUCCGCGAGGGUGGAGUAGCAUAACAGAAAAUAACCGUCCGGAGCAAUCCGGAUAAGGGUGAAAAGGCGGGGUAAGAGCCCACCGGGAUUGCCAGCGAUGGCAUCGCCGUAUGCCUUAUGGGUUGCAAUAUCAAGUAUACCAACGCUGUAGGACUGCUCGUCUGAUGUUGGGGGGUAGAUAGCUUCAGGCUUGUGGCGACACAAGUCGUAGAUAAAUGACAGACGCCUAAGGGAAUCUCUCUUAGGUACAGAACCCGGCUUACAGGCCUUCUGUGUUU